This is a non-coding RNA of Acanthosepion pharaonis, 111 nucleotides long. Lineage: Eukaryota; Metazoa; Mollusca; Cephalopoda; Sepiida; Sepiidae. The record is from the annotation of a GenBank genome assembly.
CGGACAUAUCACGUUGAAAACCCGGUUCUAGAACGAUCAUCGAAGUUAAGCAACGUCGAGCCUGGUCAGUACCUAGAUGGGUGACCGCUUCUGAAUACCAGGUGCUGUAAG